UAAAAACCCUAAAUACAAUCCCCUAAUUCUCCAAAAUGUGUAAUCAUACAUUCAGAUGUAGAAACUAUUGCUCUCGAGUUUCAGCAGCGAUUCACAAUUAAACAAAAAUAACAGCCAUCAUCACUAACUUCUUUUUGUAUCCUGAAUUUUUUCGUCAGAUUUGCCCAUAUAUAUAGGCGCCAGAAGAUUUUAUUUUUUGCUUGUGCAAAGGCUAAAUACGUACACCUAAACCAAAUGAAUCAGGCCUAUAUGGUUCUCUGUCCACCAUGGUCAAAGUUUCACCCCUACUUAGUUCAGGUAAUACCAAUUCCAUUCACCUGGGUACCCCUACUCUGUCCUUUUCUGCAUGAAGAUUGAAGUUUCUAAGAUGUGACAAGUGACGCUCGAGGAGUUUAUAAAAAGAAUUGGAACAGGAGGAAUAAUGCUGCAUUGAGGAUGAGGAAGUUUUUUCACUGCUAAGUUAAUUGAAUUAAUUAGUUGAAAAGCUGUUGUUCGGAUUGAGUACCGAUUUUUAAGUAAGUUUUCCUUUUAAAAUUCAUCUGUUUUGAUCUAAUUAUGGUUACUGCUGUAGAUAUACUGUAUUUUUUUCUUGGUUUUGGCUGCGAGCUUUUGCUUAUUGAUGAAAUCUUAUCAAUUAAUCAAGCACUGGUAAAUAUUUCAUGUUUUAGCCAAGAAGCGGAUUGUUUUUUUCUGAUCAUAUGCGUUGUUGGCAUGUCGUAUCUAAUGUCUUGUAAGUAUUUAUUCUCUUUAUAUUAGUGGAUUAUGUUCUAUUUGGUUAAUCUGAGUUUAUGUUGAAAUGUUAAAUGUUAAUUAUGUGUAUGUGUAUGUAUUUGGAAGUUUGUGAAAUGAGGAAUGAUCUGAUAAGCUAGAACUGUUGCUAACUUGAAUUCAUUAAAUUAUUAUCUGCAUAAUUUGUAAUAUUUAUGCCGAUACGUUUUUAUGAGAUUAUAAAUUUCUGUGCAUACGUUCUUAUAUUUAUCUCUUAAUUUAUUGAUUAAAAUCCCCUAAAUCACUACUAUAAAUCUAAACAAUUCUUAGAUUUAUAUAAACUGUUUUGAUAUUUUCCUUUGUAAUUUAUUAUCCUUUGUAAUUUAAUUAUGAUAUUAUCCUUUGUAAUUUAAUUGUUAUCUCUUAAUUUAUUGAUUAUAAUCCCCUAAAUCACUACUAUAAAUCUAAACAGUUUUUUUGAUUUAUAUCAACUGUUUUGAUAUUAUCCUUUGUAAUUUAAUUGUUAUCUCUUAAUUUAUUGAUUAUAAUCCCCUAAAUCACUACUAUAAAUCUAAACAGUUUUUUUGAUUUAUAUCAACUGUUUUGAUAUUAUCCUUUGUAAUUUAAUUGUUAUCUCAUAACUUAUUGAUUAUAAUCCCCUAAAUCACUACUAUAAAUCUAAACAGUUUUUAUAUUUAUAUCAACUAUUUUGAUAUUAUCCUUUGUAAUUUACAUGACGACUAGGUACGAUUUUGUUGAUGACAUCAGCCUUGUCAAAGAGACGUGGAAGAUUAAAGUCAGGAUAACUCGACUCUGGAAUAUGCCAAGCUUCAACAAAGCAGACUACAUAAACAGCAUCGAGAUGGUAUUGUUGGAUGAAAGGUAUAUAUAUAUACACACACAUACACAAACACAUAUAUACGCAACUCCUAAUUACAACAUCUUACCCUAUGCAUAUUAUACUUUUAUAGAAAACCAAAAUACAAGCGAGUAUCAAAAGGUCUCUUUUUACAAAAUUUCAAACAUCAGUCAAGGAACAACAAGUCUUUAUAAUCACCAAUUGAAAAGUAUCUUAAUUCUGGUAAUUAUAUGCACCCUUCUUUC
RNAcentral lists this long non-coding RNA (1812 nucleotides) under Panax ginseng (ginseng). Its description in RNAcentral is "long non-coding RNA (PGIN_LNC013003)". The record is from RNAcentral. Lineage: Eukaryota; Viridiplantae; Streptophyta; Magnoliopsida; Apiales; Araliaceae.